AUGGCUAAACACACCAACAAGGUCAGGAUCGCCGGUAAGUAAGGGACCCACUAUGGUGCCUCCCUCUGGAAAAUGGUGAAGAAAGCUGAAAUCAGCCAGCGCACCAUGUACACUUGCUCCUUCUGUGGCAAGACAAAGAUGAAGGGACGAGCCGUCAGCAUCUGGCACUGUGGUUCCUGCAUGAAAACAGUGGCCAGCAGGGCCUGGACCUACACCACCACCUCUGCAGUCACAGUGAAGUCUGCCAUCAGACUACUGAAGGAACUGAAAGACCAGUAGAAGCCCUGCCAUCUGAGACUUGCCUAGCCUGCAAUAAACGGGUUAUUUACGUAA
RNA transcript from Mus pahari (shrew mouse), 333 nucleotides. It is a transcript of the gene named putative 60S ribosomal protein L37a, with no coding region annotated. Lineage: Eukaryota; Metazoa; Chordata; Mammalia; Rodentia; Muridae. The transcript has a single exon. The record is from RefSeq and is a predicted model, not a curated record.